GGGGCUGUAGCUCUGUGGUACAGCACAUGCCUUGCAGGUGUGAGGUCCUGGGUUCAAUCCCCAGCACCA
RNAcentral lists this transfer RNA (69 nucleotides) under Ictidomys tridecemlineatus (thirteen-lined ground squirrel). RNAcentral describes it as "Spermophilus tridecemlineatus (thirteen-lined ground squirrel) tRNA". It matches the Rfam family "tRNA". From Rfam's summary of the family: Transfer RNA (tRNA) molecules are approximately 80 nucleotides in length. Their secondary structure includes four short double-helical elements and three loops (D, anti-codon, and T loops). The record is from Rfam by way of RNAcentral. Lineage: Eukaryota; Metazoa; Chordata; Mammalia; Rodentia; Sciuridae.